Molecule: ribosomal RNA, 459 nt
Filed under: uncultured bacterium
Lineage: Bacteria
Description: partial 16S ribosomal RNA
Rfam family: Bacterial small subunit ribosomal RNA
Source: RNAcentral
UCUACGGGAGGCUGCAGUGAGGAAUAUUGGUCAAUGGGCGGGAGCCUGAACCAGCCAAGUCGCGUGAGGGACGACGGUCCUAUGGAUUGUAAACCUCUUUUGUCGGGGAACAAAGGCGCCCACGGGUGGGCGGAUGAGUGUACCCGAAGAAAAAGCAUCGGCUAACUCCGUGCCAGCAGCCGCGGUAAUACGGAGGAUGCGAGCGUUAUCCGGAUUUAUUGGGUUUAAAGGGUGCGUAGGCGGACAGUCAAGUCAGCGGUAAAAAUUCGGGGCUCAACGCCGAACAGCCGUUGAAACUGGGAGGCUUGAGUGGACGAGAGGUAGGCGGAAUACGUGGUGUAGCGGUGAAAUGCAUAGAUAUCACGCAGAACUCCGAUUGCGAAGGCAGCAUACCGGCGCCCUACUGACGCUGAGGCACGAAAGUGUGGGUAUCGAACAGGAUUAGAUACCCGAGUAGUC